This 9163-nucleotide long non-coding RNA is filed under the name Lupinus angustifolius (narrow-leaved blue lupine). RNAcentral's name for it is "long non-coding RNA (LANG_LNC000799)". The record is from RNAcentral. Lineage: Eukaryota; Viridiplantae; Streptophyta; Magnoliopsida; Fabales; Fabaceae.
AAAAGGAUCACUCUUGUGUAUUUUUCAAAAAAUAUAACUUAUACAAAAAUUAGUUCAAAAUACCAAGGGUAUUCCUAAAUUAGAGUCAAUAAUCCCAAUAUAAACAAGAUACUUAACUAUAUAUCAGUUAAGUUCUUCUUGUCUAUAUUUCCAUCAAUGGAUAUUCAUAGAGCAACUGCAACAAACCUGAUCAUACACAUAGUAUAGACAAAAGAAAAGACAAAGAAAAGGGAGCAAGAACCAACUACGGCGACCGCAGCGUGAAAUUACGUAGAGAAAUAACAUUAAAUUGAGACAUCCUGUAACAAAACCAUAAACAAACAAUGUCAAACAUAUGCAAAUGAUGCAUGAAGUUAGUGUUUUAUACAAAAGGAUAUUCACAUCCACAAUUAAUAUAUCUUUCAUGCAAUGCAAUAUGCAAUUCACCAACCAAUCACCACCAAAAUUACAAUACACGAAGGCCAAGAUCCUAGUAGGAAAGCAACCGAGAGUACAGAUAUCCUCAACAACGACAAGUAACAAUAUCAAUUGUUGUCCAAUUACUUCUAUCUGAGGUGCUUACGUAUUAAGCCCAGUCCGUUUCAGGAUUCCUCACAACCGAUCAUCAAAUGUGCAAGGGGUGUCAGAGACUGCUUAGUUUACAUGUAAGACUAUCCUGGUCAUACGAGUAAUGAACUCGAACCCUCACUAGACUAUACCACCUAAGCAAUCACUCAAGGCUUCUUGACGAAUCAUCAUCAUUACCAAGCCUAUUCAAAUCCCAAUGAUAAUUCUAUCAUUGUAUCUUUCAAUUUUCUCCAACUUCAAUUACAAGAAUGCAAUGCAUGUACAAUAAUCAAAGAUAGUCCAUUAAAUCUUUUAAUCAAGGUUUUCCAAUUUUUUAUUUCACAAACAUCACAUAAGUUAGUCGUCUCAAGCCCAAUACAUUUCUAUCAUGCCAAGUCUAAUGGACGAGCUCAAGACGCUAACUUAGUAUCCAAGAUCAUUAAGUAAAGCCCAAUUCUCCCUACACUUUCAAGUGUGUGAAUAUCCAUAGGCUCUUAUCAAAUUCAACCUUUCCAAAAAUACAACCUAAGUUAGUAGUCUCAGCCCUAAUUUCAAACUUGUGUAUUUUCCAAAUCAAUAUAACAACUAACGUAGGUAUUUCUCAUGUUAAUACAAUAUUGAAGUUAUAUAUAUUUUUUGUUUCAAUACCACCAUACAACAAUCAAUAACAUAACCAUUGCAAUUGAAAUAUUUCUGAAUUAUAACCUUGUCACAAACAUUUAGCACAUAAAACAAUAUCAAUUUAUCACAAUACUCACAUACAUACAAACAUAAUUAUGUAACAACCUUUCAUGACGAAGUAAUAACAUAAGCGAGUACCUCUCAUUAUGUUACACACAAAAAUGAAUUCAUACAAAUAUUUUUUUCAGCACAAUCAAAUAAUUAAGACUUUAUACAUUGUCAUGAAAAAGAUUAAGGACUCUUACAUGGAAAUAUGUUUCCAUGACAGUUCUAAAUCUACAAGACUCUCCGACUUUUAAGGGAAUCGGAGAGGAAAAACUUUAAUGAAAUACUCUAAGACCACAAUGGUCUUCUCCCUCACCUGGAUUUAUGUAAGCUCUUUGUCUAGCAAACAAGAUUUAUGUAAGCUCUUUGUCUAGUAAACAAACUAGCUCUUGUGUACUCAUACAUAAGCCAACAACAAAACAGACACCUAAUUAAAGUCUAUUCUACAUCAACAACUAGCAACCAAAUUAAAAUAGAUCAACACUUCAUACUUAAUAAAAGUCACUUAUUUAGAAAUAAUUCAAGUUUGUUUGUAAUAGCUUAAUCUUGAUAUCAUAAGGUUAAGAAAAAAGUGUUAAUUAAGUUCACUUCAACAUAUGGCAAUGUUAAUUAAAAACUUGUGAAAGAAAACAAUGCAAAUAAAGACUCUUAACAAUUCAUCUCACCUAAGCAAAAGAAAGAAAUAAAAGAAAAGAGGACUGCACGUCCAUAGGUAAAAUAAUAAGGCAUAAACAAAAGUGAGAAAAACUUGACAUUGCCUCUUGGAAAAAUUUACAAAAUACCUUUGGUUUUUAAUGCUCUGUGCAUAUGGCCAUGUUAUAAAAAGAAGACAAUAAAAUAGGAGGUUCACAUAACUACUUGGAAACUGAAUUGGAAAUGUGCCUAAUUGCUCUAUUAUUCAAAAAUGUUAAAGAAUGUUGUACUAAGAUAACAUGUGUGUAUUGAUGUCAAUCUCACAAAUACAAUACCUCUUUUAUCUUAUAAGUCUAUCAAAUGUUAGUGUGGCAAAUUAACGAAUUCAAGAAAACGGCACAUACAGUGUCCGCAAGAAUCAAAAGGAAAAGAAAAUAUGGCUUUUGUUCUCUAUUAUCUAACAAGUGACAACUCAUUUUUUUUUAAAGAAAACAAUUGAAAAACAUGGGUUAAGUUUCCCAAUGGAAGAAUGUUCUAAAGGCACUAUGUAUUUUCAAGCAAUAAAAGACAUAAGACUAACAAAAGAAGAUUGAAUAAUAAUAAACCUUGGGAGGAAGAGAUAUGAGGUAUGACAAGUUCUGCACUUAUUGUUUCUCUCUCAGCAGCGGCGGCACAAAGGUUUGAAAGGGAAUACAAAUCUUUUUUUUAAGUGAUAGUACUCAUAGAUAUAGACUAUUUCUAGGUUAACUUGGAAAACACUAUUAAAUUGAUGAUAAUAUUAUAUAUAACAAAAACCAACACACCUCAUUAUAAUAAGGCUAAAGCAAAUACGGAAAAUUUACAGAUGUGGUGUACCUUGACCGAAAAAUUACGAUUUUGGUGCACCUUUUAAAAAAAUUACAAAAUUAGUGUAGUUUUAUACAAAUCGGCAAUGGAAUUGCCGAUUUAUGUAUUUUUUUCUCUCUCCUCCCCCAAAAUCGGCACUGGGGAGGGAGUUUUAUUAAACUAUAUUUUUUUUAAACUCCCCACUAAAUCGUCAAUAGGGGGAGAUUUACCUUUUUUAUUUUUUUCUCCCCUAAAUAGGCAACCAGAGAGCUUUUGAUUUUUUUUUCAACUUGUAGGAGUUAUAUUAUUAGUUUUAGGGUUUAAUUUUUCAAACACAAAUCCUAACAAUACACAACAUAAAAAAUUUUGUCAACCCUAACCCUAAUAACAGAACACAAUAAUGAAAAACACACAUAAUAUUUUAAUUAUCAAUUCAAUGAUCUUAUUAAAAUAUUAUGUGUGUUUUUCAUUAUUGUGUUUUUCAUUAUUGUGUUCUGUUAUUAGGGUUAGGGUUGACAAAAUUUAUUAUGUUGUGUAUUGUUAGGAUUUGUGUUUGAAAUAUUAAACCCUAAAACUAAUAAUAUAACUCCUACAAGUUAAAAAAAAAUCAAAAACUCUCUGGUUACGUAUUUAGGGGAGAAAAAAAAUAAAAAAAAAUAUAAAAGGUAAAUCUCCCCCUCUUGACGAUUUAGGGGGAGUUUAAAAAAAUAUAGUUUAAUAAAACUCCAUCCCCAGUGCCGAUUUUGGGGGAGGAGAGAGGAAAAAAAUACAUAAAUCGGCAAUUUGUAUAAAACUGCACUAGUUUUGUAAUUUUUUUAAAAGGUGCACCAAAACCGUAAUUUUUCGGUUAAGGUGCACCACAUCUGUAAAUUUUCCAAGCAAAUACUAUACAUGUAUCCAUGAAUAGUCUUACAGAGGCAUAACAUGAAAUUUAAUAUCAUUUAAUAUAUAAGAUAUUUUAAUUCAUAAGAUAGGAUUGUCAUAACAAUAAUAAGAUAACCAUUGUUUACUUAGUGCUAAAGGUUAAAUUGAUAAUAAUAUAUGUUAUUAAAAAUAUUUUAAGAUAAACAUAACGACUCAGAUCAAAACAAGAUAAUAUUACCAAAAUAACUAAUAUCAACUAUAUUAUUCGAUAAAUUAUUUAUCUACAGAUAAAUACUCAUAAAAUGUAUUUAAUACAAAUCUACAAUAUAUUACAAGAAUACGUGAAUACCUUAAUAGUCUAAUAAAGUGGAACUUCUAUCCAAAAAUAUGUUUUUGAAACAAAGCUAAUUCUUAGAAGAUAAAAAUUCACUUAACUACAAGAUAACUAAUGAAGUAAGUUAUUUAAUCAUAAACUUAUUAGAUAAACAUUUAAAGAUGUACGACUAAUCUAAAAAUCAUAUUUAUUUUUAGAUAAAUCUACAAAAGUAAAUCAGUUCACUCACAUAUUAAAAGAAUAGAAAAUUGAGGACGUUACAAUCCUUCCCCUAAUAAGAAAUUUCGUCCCCGAAAUUUGUUAGGUUAUUCUAAGGGUAAUAAGAUUUUAUAUGUGUGAUUAGACACAAGAUACACACAAUCAAACACAAACUCCAUCAUAAAAAAAAUUAAGAGAAUUUAGUUGUCAAUCACUAGGGCGAACCACAUACAGGUUGAUACAACAUUGGAAAUUCAAGAACUAACAUUUGAUCAAAUUGAAGAUGUCAAGAUAAGGUUGAUACAAUAUGGGGAAUUCAAGAACUAACAUUUGUUCAAAUUGAAGAUGUCAAGAUACAACAAAAGGAUGUGAAGACACAACUUGAACAAAAUUAUUAUUACGAGUACAAAAUUUACCAAUUAUUUAUUAAGAAAACUAGAUCUCAAGGAUCUAUCAAGACAACAAUAAAUCUAGACUAUUAGAAAAAUUUGAAUUAAAAAUACUAGGAUAUUUUUGUAAUUGUAAUCAAUAUGGAAAGAGAUUAAAUUUUCAUAACUCAUCAUUCACAAGAGUGUAAAAGAUGUUAAUCAAUGUGAGAAUAGUUAAAUGAACACAAACUAGAUAGAAAUAGAAACAUUUCACUUCACACAUGUCAAAUAGUCAUAAAAAAUUCAAGAAAUUUUCAAAUUUACAUUUGUCACAUUACAUUGAGAGAGAAAAGAAAAUAUUCAUCAAAUAAAUAAUCAUCUAGGCAUACAAGGAUUUUUAAAAUUCAAAGAGCAAAACAAAACGGUCAUAAGUUACCAAUUCAAGAUUACAUUCCCAUAUUUAAAAUAGGAUGUGAUAGAAGGAAUUUUGAUAUCUUAUAUAUUCAAUUUGAGACAUAAUGACAACAUACCAUACCAAAAAUAUAGAUUUCAUUAUCAUGAUAAUUGAAUAUUCAUAAAUAUCAUUAGAAUGACAUGCAGUAAAUACAAACAACGAAAGUACAAUUUGAAAAGACAAUUUUAGAACUCAAAUACCUAUAUCAAGUUUAAAAAUGAAAUUCUAGAAUAUACUCAAAGAAUUAUACAAAAUUGUUCUUAUCUUAGACACAAUUAUCUGCAAAAAGGCUUGGAAUUCUCAAUAUCAAACAAAACUAAUGUUGAGUGGAAUACUACAAUUCAACCAAGGGGACUUUUGAAAAUUGAUUAGAUAGAAGACCUAUCUCAAUCACCUUAUAAGAGUAAGGGGUUAAACACAUUUAAUUCAUAAAUGAAAUUUUUUUUAAACGAUCAAAAACAAUUAAUCAUGCAUGAAAUGGAUGUGAAGGCGUAGACCACAAGGUUUACAAGAGACUAAUUGGUUCAAAAGUUACAUACUAACCAUAAGAAUAAGAUUCUUAAACUUUAUUACAUAUAGAUAUAUAUGUAUAAAAUCUCUCAAUUAUAUAUAUAAAUAUAUAGAAGAUGUUGAUGCACAUAAGAAAAACUGAAAGUACAGUACCUAUCCAUAUGUUAAUAUACGUUACAAUUAUAUUAGAUAGUGUUAAUAUUCAAUUUUAAAAUAUUAAUUAAUAUAGAAGAUAUAACAAAAUGUGCAAAGGUAGUAUCAAUAAUUUAGCUAAUUUAAUUACCAUUACUUAUGGAGAGGAUGUAAACAAAAUUAUUUUAGCAAUAUCUCACUAAAACUAAAGUGGCACCAUAGCAAAAGUUCAUUAUUGCAGCUUGGACAUAUAUACAUAUCUAAAAGGCACAAACAUAUUUUUUCCCUAUCAUUAUACCUUUAUUAUCAUAUUUCUUAUAAUGAAUCAAUUUUGGUUACCAAGGGUUUAGAAAGUCACUUCGAAGUAUGAUCAUAUAUAAAAAUUCCACUUUUAUACAAACAUACUCUUCAGGUGGCGUGUAAGUACCUUAACCCAAUACAAUCCAUACUUUAAACUAGAAAUCUAAUUUUAUUAUAAAUAUAUAAAACUUGUGCAAGCAAUAAAGGUUCAAUUUUGGCAACUCAUGAAAACAAAGAUACAAGACGUUGCCUCCUCAAAAUACAUCAUGUACCUUUCUUUUUCUUGUUUUUUUUUUGUAAUUUCCUUUUUGCUUUACUAACACAAUAUUUCAAAACCAUUAAAGAAUUAUUAGUAACAUUCUAUAAACAAUAUUCAUUUACAUGUUAAUAUCACUCAAUUAAAUUACUUAUUCUAUUAUUAGAAUGAUACUAAAUUUAUUGUUCCAGAAUUCAUGCCUCUAUGAUAAAAUGGAAGGACAACAUCAAUCAAUUUAAAAUAGAUAUAUUACAAUUACACUAUAGAACAAGUUGUACACAAGCUUAUCAUAUAAAUUCAAUUACUAAAUUUUUAUAUAUUACAAGAAAACAUAUGCUAAAGAAGUAAUCAAUAUGUACAAAUUUAUUUCAAGGAAAAGAAGGUAGAGCAUGUGAUAGAAAACCUUCACAAAAGAAAUACAUACUAUAUAAUAAAGAGGUGGAAUUAGCCAAAAAAAGAAAAUUAAUAACAAAGUAAAACUCCACAUCACAAGAUUAUGCAUGUGUUUUAGCCAUAGGAAGGACAAAAUGAUUAAAUAAAUAUUUCAACCAGGAACGUUUAUGACCGUAAACAUCACAACACACAUGGGAUUUAAUGAUAUAUAUAUAAAAUAAAUACUUUGAUCCAGAACACCAAAUGACAAUGCAAGAGAGAGAACCAGACUAAGAAGUGAAAUAGCUCCAGUGAACACAAAAUAAAAAAAGAGCCACACACAAAAAGUUAUCAUAUGCUAAUCCAUCACAUGUCCAAUGAUCAUGACGAGAAAAUCCUCAUAAAUUUAAGUCGUUACUUAAUCUUUCACAAACAAUUGUCACUUUCAUUACAAAAAGACAUUACCUCAUUGGGUGAGGUUGAAAUCAUAACAAAACACGUAAACAAUCACACCAGAGUAACACAGAGAAAGGGUAUAUGAGGCCAUACCCCAAGCCAGAUAGGAAGGACCAGCUCUGAUACCACUAUUUUAACAUCCCGUUUUUUUACAACUUAGAAAUUAAGACUUCAUUACAAAAAUAUGAUAAAAAUUUAAAUAAAAUUAAAGGCAACCUGUUAGAAAAUCAGAGUGAAUAUAAACAAAAAUUCAUUAACAUGUUCAAGAUGCGGAAAUGUUCAAUAUUAUCAUUACCCAAAAAUGAUGUAUCACAUUCAACCUCAAAACCAUAAUUUAUAUAAUUAUCUAUUUGUUUAAGUAUGUAGCUUUACAAAAUUAUUAAAUUAAUCUUAGCAUAAUGAUUAUAAAAAACAUCUUGUAUGCAAAAAGGAUCACUCUUAAGUAUUUUUCAUAAAAUAUAACUUAUACAAAAAUUAAUUCAAAAGACCAAGGCUAUUCCUAAAUCAGAGCCAAUAAUCUCAAUAUAAACAAGAUACUUAACUAUAUAUCAGCUAAGUUCUUCUUGUCUAUAUUUCCAUCAAUGGAUAUCCAUAGAGCAACUGUAACAAACCUGAACAUACACAUAGUAUACACAAAAAAAGACAAAGAAAAGGGAGUAAGAACCAAUUAUGGCGACCACAACGUGGAAUUACAUAGAGAAAUAACAUUAAAAUGAGACACCCUAUAACAACACCAUAAACAAACAAUGUCAAACAUAUGCAAAUAAUUCAUGAAGUUAAUGUCUUAUAUAAGAGGAUAUUCACAUCCACAAUUAAUAUAUCUGUUAUGCAAUGCAAUAUGCAAUUCACCAACCAAUCACCACCAAAAUUACAAUACCCGAAGGCCAAGAACCUAGUGGGAAAGCAACUGGGAGUACAGAUAUCUUUAACAAUGGCAAAUAACAAUAUCAAUUGUUUUUCAAUUACCUCUAUCUGAGGUGCUUACGUGGUAAGCUAGUCCGUUUUAGGAUUCCUCUCUACUGAUCAUGAAAUGUGCAAGGGGUGUCAGAGACUACUUAGUUUGCAUGUAAGACUAUCCUAGUCAUACGGGUAAUGAAUCCGGACCCUCACUAGACUAUCCCACCUAAGCAAUCCCUCAAGGCUUCUUGAUGAAUCACCGUCAUUGUCGUCCCUAUCCAAAUCUUAAUGAUAUUUCUAUCAUCGUAUCUGUCCAUUUUCUCCAACUCCAACUACAAAAAUGCAAUGCAUGUACAAUAAUCGAAGUUAGUCCAUUGAAUCUUUUAAUCAAUAUUUUCCAAUUUUUUAUUCUCACCUAAGUUAGUCAUCUCAGCCCCAAUGCAUUUCUAUCAUGCCAAGUCCAAUGGACGAGCUCAAGAUGCUAACUUAGUAUCCAAGAUCAUUAAGUAAAGCCCCAAUUCUCCCUACACUUUCAAGUGUGUGAAUAUCCAUAGGCUCUUAUCAAAUUCAACCUUUCCAAAAAUACAACCUAAGUUAGUAGUCUCAGCCCCAAUUUCAAACUUGUGUAUUUUUCAAAUCAAUAUAACAACUAACGUAGGUAUUUCCCAUAUUAAUACAAUAAUUAAGUUAUAUAUAUUUUUUGUUUCAAUACCACCAUACAACAAUCAAUAACAUAACAAUUGCAAUUGAGAUAUUUCUGAAUUAUAACCUUAUCACAAACAUUUAGCACAUAAAACAAUUAUCAAUUUAUCACAAUACUCAAAUACAUACAAACAUAAUUAUUUAACAACCUUUCAUGACGAAGUAAUAACAUAAGCGAGUACCUCGCAUUAUGUUACACACAAAAAUGAAUUCAUACAGAUAUUUUUUUUCAGCACAAUGAAAUAAUUAAGACUCUAAACAUUGUCAUAAAAAAUAUUAAGGACUCUUACAUGGAAAUAUGUUUCCACGAGAUUUCCUAAUCUACAAGACUCUCCGACUUUUGAUGGAACCGGAGAGGAAAAACUUUAAUGAAAUACUCUAAGACCACAUUGGUAUUCUCCCUGGAUUUAUGUAAGCUCUUUGUCUAGCAAACAAACUAGCUCUUGUGUACUCUCCUUCAACUUCGGGAUCUACUCUCAUACAUAAGCCAACAACAAAACAGACACCUAAUUAAAGUCUAUUCUACAUCAACAACUAGCAACCAAAUUAAAAUAGAUCAACACUUCAUACUUAAUAAAAGUCACUUAUUU